This 484-nucleotide ribosomal RNA is filed under the name uncultured bacterium. RNAcentral describes it as "partial 16S ribosomal RNA". It matches the Rfam family "Bacterial small subunit ribosomal RNA", at positions 30 to 507 of the family's 1533-position model. The record is from RNAcentral.
AUUGAACGCUGGCGGCAUGCCUUACACAUGCAAGUCGAACGGCAGCACGGGAGUAAUCCUGGUGGCGAGUGGCGAACGGGUGAGUAAAGCAUCGGAACGUGCCCAGUCGUGGGGGAUAACGUAGCGAAAGCUACGCUAAUACCGCAUACGAUCUGUGGAUGAAAGCGGGGGACCGUAGGGCCUCGCGCGAUUGGAGCGGCCGAUGUCAGAUUAGGUAGUUGGUGAGGUAAAGGCUCACCAAGCCGACGAUCUGUAGCUGGUCUGAGAGGACGACCAGCCACACUGGGACUGAGACACGGCCCAGACUCCUACGGGAGGCAGCAGUGGGGAAUUUUGGACAAUGGGCGCAAGCCUGAUCCAGCAAUGCCGCGUGCAGGAUGAAGGCCUUCGGGUUGUAAACUGCUUUUGUACGGAGCGAAAAGGCUUCCACUAAUACUGGGGGCUCAUGACGGUACCGUAAGAAUAAGCACCGGCUAACUACGUG